GAGUUUGAUCCUGGCUCAGAACGAACGCUGAUGGCGUGCCUCAUACAUGCAAGUCGAGCGGGCGUAGCAAUACGUCAGCGGCGAACGGGUGAGUAACGCGUAAACAAUCUGCCUCGAGGUGGGGGAUAACUAUCCCAACGGAUAGCUAAUACCGCAUACAGCAGCGAGACCGCAUGGUUUUUCUGUUAAAGAUUUAUCGCCUCGGGAUGAGUUUGCGUCCCAUUAGCUAGUUGGCGGGGUAAUGGCCCACCAAGGCGACGAUGGGUAGCCGGCCUGAGAGGGUGUCCGGCCACAUUGGGACUGAGAUACGGCCCAGACUCCUACGGGAGGCAGCAGUAGGGAAUUUUGCGCAAUGGGGGAAACCCUGACGCAGCAACGCCAUGUGUGGGAUGAAGCAUUUAGGUGUGUAAACCACUGUCGGCAGGGAAUAAAGUCCCCUUGGGGGAGUUGAAUGUACCUGCAGAGGAAGCCCCGGCAAACUUCGUGCCAGCAGCCGCGGUAAUACGAGGGGGGCAAGUGUUGUUCGGAAUCACUGGGCGUAAAGGGAGCGUAGGCGGGAGCCUAAGUUGGAUGUUUAAAAUCGGGGCCCAACCCCGACGUGGCAUCCAAAAACUGGGUUUCUGAAUGGGACAGAAGUUGAUGGAAUUGGAGGUGUAGCGGUGGAAUGCGUAGAUAUCUCCAAGAACACCGAUUGCGAAGGCAGUCAACUGGGUCCACAUUGACGCUGAGGCUCGAAAGCGUGGGGAGCAAACAGGAUUAGAUACCCUGGUAGUCCACGCCAUAAACGAUGAAUACUAGGUAUUGCGCUAUUCAACGGUGCAGUGCCGUAGCUAACGCGUUAAGUAUUCCGCCUGGGGAGUACGCCCGCAAGGGUGAAACUCAAAGGAAUUGACGGGGGCCCGCACAAGCGGUGGAGCAUGUGGUUUAAUUCGACGCAACGCGAAGAACCUUACCAAGGCUUGACAUGGGAAGGACAGUCUGAGAGAUCGGGCCUCUCCCGCAAGGGAGCCUUCCACACAGGUGCUGCAUGGCUGUCGUCAGCUCGUGUCGUGAGAUGUUGGGUUAAGUCCCGCAACGAGCGCAACCCUCGUUUCUAGUUGCCAUCGGGUAAAGCCGGGCCCUCUAGAGAGACUGCCGCGAAUAACGCGGAGGAAGGUGGGGACGACGUCAAGUCAUCAUGGCCCUUACGUCUUGGGCUACACACGUGCUACAAUGGGUGUUACAGAGGGCAGCAAGAGCGCGAGCUGGAGCCAAUCCCUAAAAGCAUCCUCAGUUCAGAUCGCAGUCUGCAACUCGACUGCGUGAAGUUGGAAUCGCUAGUAAUCGCGGAUCAGCACGCCGCGGUGAAUACGUUCCCGGGCCUUGUACACACCGCCCGUCAAGCCACGAAAGGAGAGAGCGCUCUAAGUCGCUUCGGUAACCUUAACAGGAGCCAAGCGCCUAAAGCGAGAUCUCUAAUUGGGGCUAAGUCGUAACAAGGUAGCCGUAUCGGAAGGUGCGGCUGGAUCACCUCCUU
RNAcentral lists this ribosomal RNA (1516 nucleotides) under uncultured bacterium. RNAcentral's name for it is "bacterial SSU rRNA". It matches the Rfam family "Bacterial small subunit ribosomal RNA". The record is from RNAcentral.